AGGAUUGAUGGAUCAGGCCCAAUGAAGAGACUUGAGUCAUCAGGUUAAAUAUAUCUCUUUUAUUUACAGGUUCUGCACAUCAUCACUGGUUACAUCUGGAACUAAACAACAUGGAGGAGUGUGCCCACCUUUUAUACCUGUGGGCGGGGAUUCAGGAACACCACCUGGAGCUGCUGUGACCACUCUAGGAUAUUGCCCCCAUCCAUCCUCAACUUGGGAAAGUCUACUGGCGGAAGAGCGCAUGCGCGAAGUCCAUUUCAGCUCCGCCGUCGCCGAGGAAGGACCUGUUCGUCGCGGCUCCGCUGUAGAGGCCUCUAUCGGUCGGGUAGGCCUCGGCUUCGGUCUUGGGGGUCCAGGUGUGCUCCGGAAGGCGUCGUCCAGCAGCUGCUUCUCCGGAAUGAAGAUCCUGGCGGUGCUGAGG
This is a non-coding RNA of Pantherophis guttatus, 421 nucleotides long. NCBI's taxonomy places the organism in Eukaryota, Metazoa, Chordata, Lepidosauria, Squamata, Colubridae. The record is from RefSeq and is a predicted model, not a curated record.